This 448-nucleotide ribosomal RNA is filed under the name uncultured bacterium. RNAcentral describes it as "bacterial SSU rRNA". It matches the Rfam family "Bacterial small subunit ribosomal RNA", at positions 328 to 793 of the family's 1533-position model. The record is from RNAcentral.
CCCCCAGACUCCUACGGGAGGCAGCAGUGGGGAAUAUUGCACAAUGGGGGAAACCCUGAUGCAGCGACGCCGCGUGAGCGAUGAAGUAUUUCGGUAUGUAAAGCUCUAUCAGCAGGGAAGAAAAUGACGGUACCUGACUAAGAAGCCCCGGCUAACUACGUGCCAGCAGCCGCGGUAAUACGUAGGGGGCAAGCGUUAUCCGGAUUUACUGGGUGUAAAGGGAGCGUAGACGGUCCUGCAAGCCAGAUGUGAAAGCCCGGGGCUCAACCCCGGGACUGCAUUUGGAACUGUAAGGCUAGAGUGUCGGAGAGGCAGGCGGAAUUCCUAGUGUAGCGGUCAAAUGCGUAGAUAUUAGGAGGAACACCAGCGGCGAAGGCGGCCUGCUGGACCGUAACUGACGUUGAGGCUCGAAAGCGUGGGGAGCAAACAGGAUUAGAUACCCUGGUAC